CCUACGGGCGGCAGCAGUGAGGAAUAUUGGUCAAUGGGCGCGAGCCUGAACCAGCCAAGUCGCGUGAAGGAAGACGGUCCUAUGGAUUGUAAACCUCUUUUGUCAGGGAGCAAAGUGCGCCACGCGUGGCGUUCCGAGUGUACCCUAUGAAAAAGCAUCGGCUAACUCCGUGCCAGCAGCCGCGGUAAUACGGAGGAUGCGAGCGUUAUCCGGAUUUAUUGGGUUUAAAGGGUGCGCAGACGGAAGAUCAAGUCAGUGGUAAAAUUGAGAGGCUCAACCUCUUCGAGCCGUUGAAACUGGUUUCCUUGAGUGAGCGAGAAGUAGGCGGAAUGCGUGGUGUAGCGGUGAAAUGCAUAGAUAUCACGAAGAACUCCGAUUGCGAAGGCAGCAUACCGGCGCUCAACUGACGCUCAUGCACGAAAGUGUGGGUAUCGAACAGGAUUAGAUACCCGAGUAGUC
RNAcentral lists this ribosomal RNA (459 nucleotides) under uncultured bacterium. RNAcentral describes it as "partial 16S ribosomal RNA". It matches the Rfam family "Bacterial small subunit ribosomal RNA", at positions 338 to 795 of the family's 1533-position model. The record is from RNAcentral.